AUUGAACGCUGGCGGCAUGCCUUACACAUGCAAGUCGAACGGCAGCACGGGAGCAAUCCUGGUGGCGAGUGGCGAACGGGUGAGUAAUGUAUCGGAACGUACCUUUCAGUGGGGGAUAACGUAGCGAAAGUUACGCUAAUACCGCAUAUUCUGUGAGCAGGAAAGCAGGGGAUCGCAAGACCUUGCGCUGAUUGAGCGGCCGAUAUCAGAUUAGCUAGUUGGUGAGGUAAAGGCUCACCAAGGCGACGAUCUGUAGCGGGUCUGAGAGGAUGAUCCGCCACACUGGAACUGAGACACGGUCCAGACUCCUACGGGAGGCAGCAGU
Molecule: ribosomal RNA, 325 nt
Filed under: uncultured bacterium
Lineage: Bacteria
Description: bacterial SSU rRNA
Rfam family: Bacterial small subunit ribosomal RNA
Source: RNAcentral